RNAcentral lists this long non-coding RNA (240 nucleotides) under Mus musculus (house mouse). RNAcentral describes it as "long non-coding RNA chr11:99961078-99961318". The record is from RNAcentral. Lineage: Eukaryota; Metazoa; Chordata; Mammalia; Rodentia; Muridae.
UGUUGCAGAGCCACCUACUGGAGACCAAGCUGGGUGACCAGCUGCUGCCAGUCCUGCUGCCAGCCCAGCUGCUGUGGGUACCCCUGCUGCCAAACACACUGCACUCUCAGUUGCCUCACUCUCUGUUACCAGACCAACUGGGGCCAACCAACUUGCUGUGAAGCCACCUUCUGCAGGACUAUCUUCUGCAGCACAGUGUGCCACCAUCUCUGCUGCUGUGGGUCUAGCUGCUGCCAGCCA